CUCGAGAUCAUCGAUGGCCUCUUGUGGGCUUUGCCACCGCCAGCCUCUUUGUGUCCUAGCCUGCGCGGUAAGCCUCCUGCCUCCAUGGGGUCAGCCCUGGUACAAGCGGUUCUGGAGGAGACAGUCGGCGCCAACGAUCUUCAGUUGCGCUUUUGCGACAGCCUGAACACGAGUAGACACACCCAGGCAACUGCACGAGGAGGGCGGACGCGUUGAACGCUGGCACUCUGUGGGUACGUGAGGUCCAUGCCGGCGGAUGGCGCUGGCACCAGAUAUACCGACAGGAUCUGGUUUGUGAACAGGGCGUUACCUGCUGGCACUUAGGUUGUGUGCACUUGCUGAUUGACAAGCACACGGGGUACAACAGCUGAAGCCGUGAGUUGUAUGGUACAUCUUGCUCUCAUUGUCCGGUUGGUUGGUAAGCCACUAGAUCUCCCCUAUACAUGAAACAAUCUUCCCAUAUGUUAAUAUAGGUUGCAAUUUUUUCGUAAAAAAUCUUCUAUGCAUCAUGGCAUUGCACCAUGAGUGAGGGUACAUUUAGGCUACUAAACUGAAAAUGACAUAUUUAGUAGUUACUUCAAUACAUGGGAUCUCAUGGUGAAGAAAGUAGCUUGACUAUAUUUGUUUGUUCAUCAUCUUCUAUUAGCUCAAAUUUUUUACUGGCACAAGAUUUGCUGGUCUGCCAUGUUUUCCCUUAAUAUCAACAGUAUUUUUAUUCUUAAUUUUCAUUGUAUCCUCUAAUGAAUGUUGCUGAUGUUGUAGGUUGGGGUGCAUCAAUAUGAGCUAUAUUCUAGGCAAUCUUAUAAGUGCGAAAUUAUGAUGUGGUUUGCAAGUAUCUGGGAGUCAGAAACUCAGAUAAUGAUGCAGUCUAUGAACUUGAUUUUGUCGUGAUAGAUUGCCAGUUGUUUAGUGCAGUUUAAAAUGCAGCAAUUCAGGAAUCACCUGAAUCAAUUCAGACCACUGCUGAAGAUGUCCUUGAACUGCCACUCCUUCCACCUGAAGAUGUUGCCACUCCUUCCAAGCACAAACUUUCAGACCAGAGCACACACAACAAUCCACCAGAAGAUGUCGCCCCACUCCUCGAACUGCCACCACACGCGCCCAAUCGUCGGCCUUGAGCGAAGCCGCCGAAAAUCGAUCUACUCAGUAAGAAGGAUCCAUCCAUCAUGUUAAUUCAAGCUCGCGAGCUACAAGGUUGAAUUACUGUAAGUUUUGCAUGCUAUUGAUUGGCAGGAAGUGACUCUCUGCUCUCAUGGCCAACAAGGGUGAAGAUCCUCAGGGACUGUGCAUCUGUCCUGAGGUUUCUUCACACACACUCCGAUGGAUGCAUUGUACAUAGAGACAUUAUGCUUACCAACAUCUUGCUGACAGAGGACAUGGAGCCUAAGCUGUCUGAUUUUGGGCUAGCAAAAACGCUGCAAAUGGAGGAGACCAAGGUCUUCACAGAUGUGGGGGGAACCAUUGGUUACAUGGAUCCUGAGUACAUUAACACACUCCAAGCUUACUUGCGCGCAAGUGAUAUCUACAGCUUUGGCGUGGUUGUGCUGCAGCUUCUGUCAGGAAGAAAGGUCAUCGAACUUGACAUUGUUCCACGCGAUUCUCUCACCAAGAAGGUAAAUUCAGGCAUAUAUUUUUCAGAAUCAUAUCCCUGUUACACUGAGCAGGAACUCGGCAAGUCAAUUUCAGAGUUAUUCUCACCAUUGUUACCUGAAGUUUUUGAUGCACCUAAUUUGGUCUCGGUUCUUGUCUCAAGGCCAAAGAUGCAUCGCCCCUCGGCCUCUCCCCGGAGGCAGAGCUCGCGCCGCCGGCUUGUCCCUAUCCUCGAACGCCCUGUAGAAAUCUAGGAUGAUGAAGAAGAAAUUGGGUGGACAUGGCCCGAACAAUCGAAGAAGAUAAAAGAAGAAAUUGCAUGGGCGCAGUAGAUCGAAGGGAGGAGAAGGGGAAAAAGGAGACCUCUGACUCCGGCGGGCUACUUGGUGAGCUCCUCCACCUGCCUCUUUGCAAUCCGCCGAGCAGCCGCCGCGCCAGGAAUGCGAGAAAGGAGGGCGCCCCACUGCCGUGCCCUGGCGAGGUAAACACAUGGCCGUCGGACAGGAGCGGCGGGAGGAUCGACAAAAAAAAAACGCGUGCUUCACGUUGGGGAACGAAGCGGGGAACGAUGCGGCGUGGGGCGUGAGGCGGGAGGGGUGGUGCCACAGCGGGGGCGGCGUGGGGCGGGAGGAGCGGUGGCGGAGAGGGGCGGCGGGGGGCGGCAAGGCGGCACCCGUCGUCGGGUUCGGCCGGGAGGGAGUGAGAGCGAGAGCGAGGAAGAAGAGGGACCUCGGGUUCGGUCGGGAAAACAUGGAGGACUAAAUUGCAAAUAUCCACUUGCGACAUGUUUUUCGGGACGGAGGGAGUACAACACAGACACUGACAUUUUUAGUGUUAGCAUUACUGUUAUCAUAUAUUUCACAUGCACCAGCUUUUUAUUAUGUCAGACGAGACAAAAAAUACAGUUUUUUCCUCCGUGUAAAUUGGAUGUUCAGUGCAUUAUCAUAUUCAGGAUGUCCCCUAUUUUUCUUAUAAUUCAAUUGAUAUAAUAAGUAUUGGUUGCCUCGGUGAUGCUUUUUCCCCAAUUUACCUUAUAAAGGAUGCUGGGGUGCUAGGCGCAACCACCGGCUCCACGUAUACGCUAUGAAUAGUGUCGUGCGAGAGGAAAAAACAGCUAGCAGCUAGAUAAGAGAAUCUGGUCCGGCCAUUCUAUCUCGCUUAGUACUUGCUUUGAGCGUUUUACCUCGCUGUCAAACGUCCCGGCGUUAGUUCUUUUGUACGUUCUGUGCUUCGGUCGCAGAGGAUGACAGCUGGGCCAGCCUUUGCGCGCGGGCCCAUCCUGCGGUGAGAGCGUGGGUGCGUGCUUGCGAAGCGGUGAUCGUGGGUUGGCCAGAGGCAGCCAGAGGCGAUCGUGGGCUGCAGGCCGCUGUGGCAUUUUUUUUAUCGAGGUGCGUUUGACCCACCUGUGACCAUUCUGCUUCAGCCGAUGUGGUCCGAAAAAACAGCUAGCAGCGCGAGAUAAGAGAAUCUGGUCUGGCCAUUCUAUCUCGCUUAAUACUUGCUUUGAGCGUUUUACCUCGCUGUCAAACAUCCCGGUGUUAGUUCUUUUUCUACGUUUUGUGCUUCGGUCGCAGAGGAUGACAGCUGGGCCAGCCUUUGCGCGCGGGUCCAUCCUGCGGUGAGAGCGUGGGUGCGUGCUUGCGGAGCGGUGAUCGUGGGUUGGCCAGAGGCAGCCAGAGGCGAUCGUGGGCUGCAGGCCGCCGUGGCAUUUUUUUUUACCGAGGUGCGUUUGACCCACCUGUGACCAUUCUGCUUCAGCCGAUGUGGUCCCACAUCUCUGUCUCUUCAUAGCCGCGCGCUGCUCCCAUUGGUUGCCGCUGUGCCAGCACGCCUGUACUCGCUGGGUAAUAGGGUGCUCCGCCCUUUUCUUGUUCAUACGCGGGACUUCUCCAGUUGUUCUGCUGCAUGUGGCCCUUCGUGCGGCUGGGCCCAUUUGUCGGUCUCGUGCUCUCCUUUAUCUGGGUCACUCUAGGAGUUACAGCGCCCCUGUCCUGUUGAUGACCGAGGAGGCGCUUUUCUUUCAUCCUCAUCCUCCCCUCUGUCAGUGCCUCCCUCUCGAUUCACUCCACUCCGCUCGGUCUCGCCUGGGCGUCGUUGUUCGUCCUCCGCCGCCAUCGUUGGUUGCCGUCGCCGUGCUUGUCACUUCUUUGCUCAUGGCUCCUCGCGUGCCUGCCUCCGCGUUCGGUUAGGCCUCGCUGCGGCUGGUUUGCCGUGCGCCUCUUCACCUGUUCGUCCGUCCUUCUCAGGGUCUUUAUUAUUCGGAUAAUUGAUCUCCUGGCUCCAGCUCUGCAAAGGUUCUGUUGUGGUUCAUCUCAUUUGGCACAUCGGCUGCUCUACUUUGGCGUGCGGAGUACCAUGGCGUGUAUCUUUUCGUGCUUUUAGUUUCUCUGGUUGCGGUAUGCCUCCGCGCCGUGUUAUUCCUGCCCGGGCAGCUGUUCCUGCCAGACCGGCUGUUCCUUCAGCCCAUUCUCCUGUUGUGCACCGUGCUGUUCUCCCACGCCGUGCUGCUCGUGCUGCAGCUCUUUUGCCUCCUGUGUCGGCCACGCCUGCCGUUCCCCUUGUUGUUUGAAAGAGGAAACGUUCUUGUUGGACAGGCUCUGCUCCCACAACAAGAAUGCUCUCGCAGAGCAUACCCUAGCAUCUCCUCUGGAACCUGGUUGGGUUGGUUUUUCUCCUGACGAAGUCGAGAUCCUUAAAGAUUUCUACCCAAAGAGGUCAUACUACGGAGCUCCCGACUACCGAUGCAACCACUGCGGGGCUAGCUUUUGGUGGCGUGAGAGG
Non-coding RNA from Aegilops tauschii subsp. strangulata, 4371 nucleotides. Lineage: Eukaryota; Viridiplantae; Streptophyta; Magnoliopsida; Poales; Poaceae. The record is from RefSeq and is a predicted model, not a curated record.